GACGAACGCUGGCGGCAUGCCUAAUACAUGCAAGUCGAGCGAACAGAUGAAGUGCUUGCACUUCUGACGUUAGCGGCGAACGGGUGAGUAACACGUAAGGAAUCUACCUAUAAGCGGGGGAUAACAUUCGGAAACAGGUGCUAAUACCGCAUAAUAUCUUCUUCCGCAUGGAAGAAGAUUGAAAGACGGCUCUGCUGUCACUUAUAGAUGACCUUGCGGUGCAUUAGUUAGUUGGUGGGGUAACGGCCUACCAAGACGAUGAUGCAUAGCCGACCUGAGAGGGUGAUCGGCCACAUUGGGACUGAGACACGGCCCAAACUCCUACGGGAGGCAGCAGUAGGGAAUCUUCCGCAAUGGGCGAGAGCCUGACGGAGCAAUGCCGCGUGAGUGAAGAAGGCCUUCGGGUCGUAAAACUCUGUUAUAAGAGAAGAACAAAUUGUAGAGUAACUGCUACAGUCUUGACGGUAUCUUAUCAGAAAGCCACGGCUAACUACAUGCCAGCCGCCGCAGUAA
This 513-nucleotide ribosomal RNA is filed under the name uncultured bacterium. RNAcentral's name for it is "partial 16S ribosomal RNA". It matches the Rfam family "Bacterial small subunit ribosomal RNA", at positions 28 to 523 of the family's 1533-position model. The record is from RNAcentral.